This 440-nucleotide ribosomal RNA is filed under the name uncultured Bacteroidota bacterium. RNAcentral describes it as "bacterial SSU rRNA". It matches the Rfam family "Bacterial small subunit ribosomal RNA", at positions 355 to 792 of the family's 1533-position model. The record is from RNAcentral. Lineage: Bacteria; Pseudomonadati; Bacteroidota.
UGAGGAAUAUUGGUCAAUGGACGAAACUCUGAACCAGCCAUCCCGCGUGCAGGAUGACGGCCCUAUGGGUUGUAAACUGCUUUUGUUUGCCAAGAAUGGUACCUACGUGUAGGUAUUUGACGGUAGCAAAUGAAUAAGGACCGGCUAACUCCGUGCCAGCAGCCGCGGUAAUACGGAGGGUCCAAGCGUUAUCCGGAUUCAUUGGGUUUAAAGGGUGCGCAGGCGGGCUUGUAAGUCAGUGGUGAAAUCUUGCCGCUUAACGGUAAAACUGCCAUUGAUACUGCAAGUCUUGAAUAUGGUUGAGGUAGGCGGAAUGUGUUGUGUAGCGGUGAAAUGCAUAGAUAUGACACAGAACGCCGAUUGCGAAGGCAGCUUACUAAGCCAUUAUUGACGCUGAGGCACGAAAGCGUGGGGAGCGAACAGGAUUAGAUACCCUGGUA